GGGCCCGCACAAGCGGCGGAGCAUGUGGCUUAAUUCGACGCAACGCGAAGAACCUUACCAAGGCUUGACAUACACCGGAAACGUCUGGAGAUAGGCGUUCCCUUGUGGCUGGUGUGCAGGUGGUGCAUGGCUGUCGUCGGCUCGUGUCGUGAGAUGUUGGGUUAAGUCCCGCAACGAGCGCAACCCUCGUUCCAUGUUGCCAGCGCGUUAUGGCGGGGACUCAUGGGAGACUGCCGGGGUCAACUCGGAGGAAGGUGGGGAUGACGUCAAGUCAUCAUGCCCCUUAUGUCCAGGGCUUCACACAUGCUACAAUGGCCAGUACAGAGGGCUGCGAGACCGCAAGGUGGAGCGAAUCCCUUAAAGCUGGUCUCAGUUCGGAUCGGGGUCUGCAACUCGACCCCGUGAAGUUGGAGUCGCUAGUAAUCGCAGA
Molecule: ribosomal RNA, 430 nt
Filed under: uncultured Actinomycetes bacterium
Lineage: Bacteria; Bacillati; Actinomycetota; Actinomycetes
Description: bacterial SSU rRNA
Rfam family: Bacterial small subunit ribosomal RNA
Source: RNAcentral